AGGACGAACGCUGGCGGCGUGCUUAACACAUGCAAGUCGAGCGGACAUCUUCGGAUGUUAGCGGCGAACGGGUGAGUAACACGUGGGCAACCUGCCCCUAGCUCUGGGAUAACUCCGGGAAACCGGGGCUAAUACUGGAUAUGACCGAUCCAUGCAUGUGGGUUGGUGGAAAGUUUUUCGGCUAGGGAUGGGCCCACGGCCUAUCAGCUUGUUGGUGGGGUGAUGGCCUACCAAGGCGACGACGGGUA
RNAcentral lists this ribosomal RNA (248 nucleotides) under uncultured bacterium. RNAcentral describes it as "partial small subunit ribosomal RNA". It matches the Rfam family "Bacterial small subunit ribosomal RNA", at positions 26 to 285 of the family's 1533-position model. The record is from RNAcentral.